RNAcentral lists this ribosomal RNA (492 nucleotides) under uncultured bacterium. RNAcentral's name for it is "partial 16S ribosomal RNA". It matches the Rfam family "Bacterial small subunit ribosomal RNA", at positions 29 to 507 of the family's 1533-position model. The record is from RNAcentral.
AGUGAACGCUGGCGGUAGGCCUAACACAUGCAAGUCGAACGGCAGCACAGUAAGAGCUUGCUCUUACGGGUGGCGAGUGGCGGACGGGUGAGGAAUACAUCGGAAUCUACUUUUUCGUGGGGGAUAACGUAGGGAAACUUACGCUAAUACCGCAUACGACCUACGGGUGAAAGCAGGGGAUCUUCGGACCUUGCGCGAUUGAAUGAGCCGAUGUCGGAUUAGCUAGUUGGCGGGGUAAAGGCCCACCAAGGCGACGAUCCGUAGCUGGUCUGAGAGGAUGAUCAGCCACACUGGAACUGAGACACGGUCCAGACUCCUACGGGAGGCAGCAGUGGGGAAUAUUGGACAAUGGGCGCAAGCCUGAUCCAGCCAUACCGCGUGGGUGAAGAAGGCCUUCGGGCUGUAAAGCCCCUUUGUUGGGAAAGAAAAGCAGCAGGUUAAUACCCCGCUGUUCUGACGGUACCCAAAGAAUAAGCACCGGCUAACUUCGUG